Molecule: ribosomal RNA, 522 nt
Filed under: uncultured Bacteroidota bacterium
Lineage: Bacteria; Pseudomonadati; Bacteroidota
Description: bacterial SSU rRNA
Rfam family: Bacterial small subunit ribosomal RNA
Source: RNAcentral
UUUGAUCCUGGCUCAGGAUGAACGCUAGCGGCAGGCUUAACACAUGCAAGUCGAGGGGUAGCAGGAUUUAGUUUACUAGAUUGCUGACGACCGGCGCACGGGUGAGUAACGCGUAUACAAUUUACCUUUUACUGGAGGAUAGCCCAGAGAAAUUUGGAUUAAUACUCCAUAGUAUUAAUUGGUCACCUGGCCGAUUAAUUAAAGUUCCGGCGGUAAAAGAUGAGUAUGCGUCCUAUUAGCUAGAUGGUAAGGUAACGGCUUACCAUGGCGACGAUAGGUAGGGGUCCUGAGAGGGAGAUCCCCCACACUGGUACUGAGACACGGACCAGACUCCUACGGGAGGCAGCAGUGAGGAAUAUUGGGCAAUGGAGGCAACUCUGACCCAGCCAUGCCGCGUGCAGGAAGACUGCCCUAUGGGUUGUAAACUGCUUUUAUACAGGAAGAAACUUAUCCACGUGUGGAUAACUGACGGUACUGUAAGAAUAAGGACCGGCUAACUCCGUGCCAGCAGCCGCGGUAAUA